Molecule: long non-coding RNA, 381 nt
Filed under: Pan troglodytes (chimpanzee)
Lineage: Eukaryota; Metazoa; Chordata; Mammalia; Primates; Hominidae
Description: long non-coding RNA NONPTRT004483
Source: RNAcentral
GGCGGCGCUGCUACCAACAUGGCCGACAUUUCCCCUCCGCGGCGUGAGCGGCAGCAAUGAACUGUGGGGGAUAUUUAUUCAAGUUAGCCGGAGUGACAGCCGGGCCCGGCCGCGCACAGCCCCGGUUUGCAUUAAAGGGGAAUCGGCCCGGCCGGCCCGGAAGCCAGAUGCGGGGCUGCCAGGGUUGGUCUUGUCAGAUUCGUCCUAAGAGGGCCGGUGGGACAGCUGCAGGCUGGAUGGAAAGAAAACCAUGCAACGUUUAUGAAUGAAUUGAAAAACCUUCAGGCUGAAGGACUUACGACUCUUGGCCAAUCCCUAAGGACAGCUUUUGAUUUAUUAAAUUUAAAUAGAUUAGUAACUGGCAUAGACAACUAUGGGCAG